UAGUUUGAUCCUGGCUCAGGACGAACGCUGGCGGCGUGCUUAACACAUGCAAGUCGAAGGCGUGGAGCAAUCCACGACUGGCGAACGGGUGCGUAACACGUGAGCGAUCUACCCUGGUGUGGGGGAUAGCCGGCCCAACGGCCGGGUAAUACCGCAUGGGUUCUUUUGGAGGCAUCUCUGGGAGAACAAAGCCUUCGGGCGCACUGGGAGGGGCUCGCGGCCUAUCAGCUGGUUGGCGGGGUAAUGGCCCACCAAGGCGACGACGGGUAGCUGGUCUGAGAGGAUGGCCAGCCACAUUGGGACUGAGAGACGGCCCAGACUCCUACGGGAGGCAGCAGUGGGGAAUCUUGCGCAAUGGGCGAAAGCCUGACGCAGCGACGCCGCGUGCGGGAGGACGGCCUUCGGGUCGUAAACCGCUGUUGCCCGGGACGAAAAGCCCUUUCGAGGGCGUUGACGGUACCGGGUGAGGAAGCACCGGCUAACUCCGUGCCAGCAGCCGCGGUAAUACGGAGGGUGCGAGCGUUGUCCGGAAUCACUGGGCGUAAAGGGCGCGUAGGCGGCCCGAGGAGUCGGGGGUGAAAGUCCGGGGCUCAACCCCGGAUCGGCCUUCGAGACUCUCGGGCUCGAGCACAGUAGAGGCGGGUGGAAUUCCGGGUGUAGCGGUGGAAUGCGUAGAGAUCCGGAAGAACACCGGUGGCGAAGGCGGCCCGCUGGGCUGUGGCUGACGCUGAGGCGCGACAGCGUGGGGAGCAAACAGGAUUAGAUACCCUGGUAGUCCACGCCGUAACGAUGGGCACUAGGUGCCUGGGGGAGCGACCCCCUGGGUGCCGGCGCUAACGCAUUAAGUGCCCCGCCUGGGGAGUACGGCCGCAAGGCUGAAACUCAAAGGAAUUGACGGGGGCCCGC
Molecule: ribosomal RNA, 906 nt
Filed under: uncultured bacterium
Lineage: Bacteria
Description: bacterial SSU rRNA
Rfam family: Bacterial small subunit ribosomal RNA
Source: RNAcentral